This 506-nucleotide ribosomal RNA is filed under the name Myriochele sp. BC-2003. Its description in RNAcentral is "partial 16S ribosomal RNA". It matches the Rfam family "Bacterial large subunit ribosomal RNA", at positions 1817 to 2600 of the family's 2925-position model. The record is from RNAcentral. Lineage: Eukaryota; Metazoa; Annelida; Polychaeta; Sabellida; Oweniidae.
AGCUUCUCGCUUAUAAAGAGAGGUGAUUUCUGCCCGGUGAUUAAUUAAACGGCCGCAGUAUUUUGACUGUGCUAAGGUAGCGUAAUAAUUUGCCUUUUAAUUGAAGGCUAGUAUGAAUGGGAUAACUUGAAAUCUAUUUUCUUAGAAUAUUCUUUUGAAGUUGCAUAUAAAUUGAGAAUGAUUUAAUUUUUUUGAUAGACGAGAAGACCCUGUCGAUCUUUAUUGUUUAUUUUUAUUAUUAGUUUGAUUUAUUCAAUUAUAAUUAUAAAUAAGUUAGUUGGGGCGACUAAGGAAGUAAUGUUAAUCUUCCUUUAAAUAUAUGAAGUUUUUUUCUUAUCUUUGAGCCAUAAAUAUGAUUAACAGAUUAAGUUACCGCAGGGAUAACAGAGUAAUAAUUAUGAAGAGUUCUUAUCGAUAUAAUUGUUUACUACCUCGAUGUUGGAUUAAGAAAACAGUGAGGUGUAGCAUUUUCACUAGUAAGACUGUUCGUCUUUUGAUUUCUUACG